CUAACUCUGGCGUUCUUUCCGUGCAUGUCUUUGUGGACACUAGGAACCAAUGCUGUGCUGUGGAUGAAGGGUGGAGGGUGGCCUUUUUAAUCAAACCCCAGCAUAGCCAAAGAACUAUUAAUUUUUCAGUAUGGUGGUUUUAUGAAGGUGGGGGGAGGGGAAACAGCCUCAGUUUCCCACCUGUUGAUUAGUUGGUAAAGGAAACUAUUUGUAGAAAUACCUGAUUCUCCAUGCUUAUGUUGCUUCAUUUUUCCAUUUAGAUCUUUCCUUUGCCUCUUACAUAAGCAGUGGGGGAAAGGAC
This 301-nucleotide long non-coding RNA is filed under the name Homo sapiens (human). RNAcentral describes it as "non-protein coding lnc-HAX1-6:1". Lineage: Eukaryota; Metazoa; Chordata; Mammalia; Primates; Hominidae. The record is from RNAcentral.